UCYUCUUGCUCUUACAAAGAUUUUUUUUCUGUUAGAGCUUUUCUCUCCCUCACGUCACCGAUUUCAAAUCACCCCUGUACUCAAAUGCUGAAACGAGAGUUCUGGAGUGUCUCUCUCCCUGAGGCGUACGUUCAGCUGAUACGGCCGUGGGGCUGCUCUCACUCGUGGUGCUCUGCAGUUGUCUGUCUGGUACCCAGCGAUCAAGCUAUUGCACUGACUGCGGUAGCAGUCAACAAAUCAUUCAAUCUGUGGCUGCCAGCUACCAGUGCCUUUUUGCAUGUGAUCCAUUGGCCUCUCAGGAUCUGCAGACCAGUUCCCUGGGAUUUGCAGCUAAGUGAUCGUUUCUGUUAA
This 351-nucleotide long non-coding RNA is filed under the name Dromaius novaehollandiae (emu). RNAcentral's name for it is "lncRNA (ENSDNVG00000005525.1)". The record is from RNAcentral. Lineage: Eukaryota; Metazoa; Chordata; Aves; Casuariiformes; Dromaiidae.